This 497-nucleotide ribosomal RNA is filed under the name uncultured bacterium. Its description in RNAcentral is "partial 16S ribosomal RNA". It matches the Rfam family "Bacterial small subunit ribosomal RNA", at positions 28 to 507 of the family's 1533-position model. The record is from RNAcentral.
GAUGAACGCUGGCGGCGUGCCUAAUACAUGCAAGUAGAACGCUGAAGGAAGGAGCUUGCUCUUUCCGGAUGAGUUGCGAACGGGUGAGUAACGCGUAGGUAACCUGCCUGGUAGCGGGGGAUAACUAUUGGAAACGAUAGCUAAUACCGCAUAACAGUAGAUGUUGCAUGAUAUCUACUUAAAAGGUGCAAUUGCACCACUACCAGAUGGACCUGCGUUGUAUUAGCUAGUUGGUGAGGUAACGGCUCACCAAGGCGACGAUACAUAGCCGACCUGAGAGGGGGAGCGGCCACACUGGGACUGAGACACGGCCCAGACGCCUACGGGAGGCAGCAGUAGGGAAUCUUCGGCAAGGGACGGAAGUCUGACCGAGCAACGCCGCGUGAGUGAAGAAGGGUGUCGAAUCGUAAAGCUCGGUUGUAGGAGAAGAACGAGUGUGAGAGUGGAAAGUUCACACUGUGACGGUAUCUUACCAGAAAGGGACGGCUAACUACGUG